ACGGAAGGCAGCAGUGGGGAAUAUUGCACAAUGGGGGAAACCCUGAUGCAGCGACGCCGCGUGAGUGAAGAAGUAUUUCGGUAUAUAAAGCUCUAUCAGCAGGAAAGAAAAUGACGGUACCUGACUAAGAAGCCCCGGCUAACUACGUGCCAGCAGCCGCGGUAAUACGUAGGGGGCAAGCGUUAUCCGGAUUUACUGGGUGUAAAGGGAGCGUAGACGGCUUUGCAAGUCUGAAGUGAAAGCCCGGGGCUCAACCCCGGAACUGCUUUGGAAACUGUAGAGCUAGAGUGCAGGAGAGGUAAGUGGAAUUCCUAGUGUAGCGGUGAAAUGCGUAGAUAUUAGGAGGAACACCAGUGGCGAAGGCGGCUUACUGGACUGUAACUGACGUUGAGGCUCGAAGGCGUGGGGAGCAAACAGGAUUAGAUACCCUGGUA
This 434-nucleotide ribosomal RNA is filed under the name uncultured Lachnospiraceae bacterium. Its description in RNAcentral is "partial 16S ribosomal RNA". It matches the Rfam family "Bacterial small subunit ribosomal RNA", at positions 341 to 792 of the family's 1533-position model. Lineage: Bacteria; Bacillati; Bacillota; Clostridia; Lachnospirales; Lachnospiraceae. The record is from RNAcentral.